RNAcentral lists this ribosomal RNA (253 nucleotides) under uncultured bacterium. Its description in RNAcentral is "partial 16S ribosomal RNA". It matches the Rfam family "Bacterial small subunit ribosomal RNA", at positions 524 to 776 of the family's 1533-position model. The record is from RNAcentral.
UACGUAGGGUGCGAGCGUUGUCCGGAAUUAUUGGGCGUAAAGCGCUCGUAGGCGGUCUGUUGCGUCAGGUGUGAAAGCUCGGGGCUUAACCCCGAGCCUGCUUCUGAUACGGGCAGACUAGAGGCAUGCAGGGGAGAGCGGAAUUCCUGGUGUAGCGGUGAAAUGCGCAGAUAUCAGGAGGAACACCGGUGGCGAAGGCGGGGAUCUGGGCCGUAACUGACGCUGAGGAGCGAAAGCGUGGGGAGCAAACAGG